GUCACUAAAGCUGUAUAGGGAGAAAAGAACAUUUAAAACAAUUUGAUUAGUGAUUAAAAAAAUUAAAUUGUUAAGCCAAAUGCAAGAAUUUUGAAGUAAUUAAUAAACACAUGUACAUACUUACUUGCCCUUAAAGAAGGCAUAAGGUUUGUAAAAUUCUGCCAACCGCAUUGCAAACUUGAUUUUGCGAUUAAGGUCCAUGUAAACUUGCCUAAAAUACUGGCAACUAAGGAUGUUCACCAAAUACAAUACCUUUACAAAUUAGAAACAUAAAAAAUAAAUUAUAAUAAGAUAUGGGAAUUUAUUAAUAAAUUAUUCUAAAAAAUUUAAAUAAAUAUUUAUUUUUCUAUUACAUAUAAUCAAGUCGUUAUACUAUUAAUUUGAGUCAAAUAGAUCCUUAUAGUUAGAGAGUAACUAACUGCCAUUAAUCAAAGCGUCACACGUUGUUUUAAGCCACAUGAUGCUGACAUGAAAAAUAACAUAUAAUCAUGCCAUCAUAGUAUAUCAAUAUGUUACGUCAGUAUUUGUUAUGAUGCAUGUCUGUGAUGUCAACAUAAUGUAACAUAAAAUUACAUCUAACGUUUAACUAAUGAUAGUUAGUUAACCAUUAGUUCUAAAAUCUUAUUUGGUCCAAAAUAAAAAUUUAAGUGUUUGAUUGAAUACAAAGUAUAAUAAGUUAUUUGAAUUUAUCUAAAUAGUUCAAAGACUCUUUAGAUAAUAUGCCAAAAUAAAAAUUAAGACUGUGACAAACCUUUAAUAGGAACACAUAUUUAAUCCACAUGUAUAGAAAAAUUCCAUUGACCGUGCUCAAGAGUGUUACUUUACGAACUUUAACUCUUUGUCUGUUUCUAUUAAUCCAUGGAUUUCAGUGAAAUAACAAUAUAAAAAUUUUUAGUGAAAAAAUUUUUAGUGAACUUCAACACGUUAUUUUAGUAUGUCAUGUCAUUAACUGUUAUGACAUGUCAGCAUAUUGUGUCAAUACUAUGUGAUAUAAAAAAACAUGUAAUGUUUUAAAUAAUGACAGUUAAUUAACCAUUAGUUCUAUGGACUUAUUUGACCCGAAACAAAAGCAUAACAGUUUGAAUGAAUGCAAUUAGAAAAAAAAUAAUUGAUUUGAAUUUUUUAAAUAGUUCAGAGUCCUUUUAAAUAUUAUGUCAAAAUAAAAAUUAGGAAUGUAACAAACCUUCAAUGGAAACACAUAUUUAGUCCACAUGUAGAGAAAAUAUCCAUUGAUUGUGCUCAACACUGUGAGUUUACGAACUUUAACUCGUUGUCCGUUUCUAUUAGACCAUGGGUUUUCAGUGAAAUAACAGUGUAUAAAUUUGCAAAAAUCCCCGAGUUUUAAAGGAUUUUUCAAUGAGGAGCUAACAUGGUAAAUGGUCUGACAAGAUUGAUUACUUGUGUGAACUGACAUGGCCACGACCAUUGCAUUUACCACCAUGUCUGCAGGUAUCUGCAUAAAUUUUGAAAUUCACGUUUUUCACUUGCAAUUAGACCCAGCUAUAGGAAGAAAAUGGUAUAUGUUAUCCAGAGAUUAAAAAUUCUCACCACAUCGAGGGCAGAGUUAGGAUAGCCAGGAAAACAUGUUAAUUUCCCCUUGCCAUAACUCACAAUGACGCUAUCUAUAGUUCUGUAGUAACACAAAUAUUAAUGAGUCAUUAUUCCAAAUAUACAAUGUUAAUGAAAGCAAUAAAUUGCAUUAAUGAAAUAUAAUAAUAAUCCUAAAUCAAAUACCAUAAAAAUUUGAAGUUACAAUUUGGUCAUGAUAAUUACCUCACACCUUCAAUCCAGCCAGGGAAGGGUUCUUUAUAAGUGCUUGCAAUCAUGGUAGGGCGGAUAAUGACAAAAGGCAAAUCUCCUUUGAAGUUCCCUAAAAGCAUCUCUCCCAUUGCCUUUGUAAACACGUAUGUGUUAGGCCACCCAUACAAUUUUGCCCUGUAUUCAUAAGAAACAAGGUUUACCACUGUUUUCUUUUUACUUUUUUUUUUUAAAUUUAAGAUAUCGUCCAUACAAUUCAAGGUGAAGUGAAAAUGAUGACGGUGAGAGAGAAACCUUUUGAGGCCGAAUUCCUUCAUUUCUGAUUUUAUUACUUCGUUUGGGGCAUGUUGGAAUCGCAAUUCAUCUAAUUUUUCCUCUACAAUUCUCUUCUCUUCAAUAAUGUCUAAUUUACAUGUUUUCAACAAUGUAUCAUCCACGGAAAAUGGUUUUUCUAAUAUAAUUCCUGCUUCUUCACCGCACACGUAGGCUAAAAGAAAAUUAUGAUAAAAAGCAUGAUUGUCAAUCUUAAUUUAUCUCCGAUAUAUGUUCUGAAUGCACUAAAAUUUAACUAUGUAUAUAACAAAUAUCAACCACUAAUUAAUCAAGAACGAUCAAUUAAUUUCAUAUUUACCAGUUGAUGUGUGGAGAAACAGCUUUAUCUUAUCACAUUUCUUCGCAAAGCUCAAAACGUUAAGAGCUCCAAACGUAUUGAUGGCCAAUGCAACAUCAUAGCUUGAAAAAUAAGAGGAAAGAAGAAAAGAAAAGCGGCGAAUUAUAGGCAAAAUUAUGUUCUUAAGACAUACUCCUACAAUUCAAAUAUGAGGAUUCUAAAUUACCUUUCAUUGAAUCCUGUCGUGGCAGCAACAUGUACUACAAUUUCUAUUUCUUUCAACAUUUGUUCCCUUAAUUUUGAUUCAUUCACCCCCAAGUUUUCGGAAGAAAUAUCGCCAGGCACUGCUAUCACCUUGGUUAAUAUAAAGGAAUCAAAUUCCGAACCCCAAUUGUCUCGAAGAAUCGUAAACAAUUCUGUAUCUAUAAUCUACAUAAAAAUUAAGAUGUGUAAGUUUUUUUUUUUUGUGAAUUUGAAAUUGAAUUUUAUAUCACGUGUAACAAAUUGGAUUGAAAUAAAAAUUUUAAUUUCAAAUUUAGUAUGAAUCAUAUGAUAGAACAGUAGUAAUUACGAAUAUGACUUUCAUGAUUAUCGUAAAAUUGUCUGAAUUAUGGAACUUAAAAUUCAUUAUAUACCUCACUAUGCAGGCGUUUUGUGGCAGAUUUAGCAUCUGCAGCCUUCAAAAGAAGAUAGAGCUUAUUCACAUUUGGUUGAAUCCUUAAUAUCUUCUCGACAAAGACUGAAACCGGAGUUCAGAAUUAAAUGAUUAAGUAAAACUAAAAUGAUUAAUUAUAUUGUGUUUUAAAUGAAAUCAUCAUCCUUGGCUUCGUAAGAGAGAGAGAGAGUACUCUUUGCCAAAAAUCCAGUUGCACCAGUGACUAAAAUAGUUUUGCCUUGAAGAAACUUGACAACAUGAUCCAACUCCAUAUUCAUGUCUGAGAACCCAAAAAGAAAUCAAAUAAAAGAAGUAACUUUUUUAUAAUAUUUAUUGGAAUAAAAUUGGGUAAAAUUCAAUAUUUGAUAGAAGAAAAGAUAAGAUAAAUGUAUGCUUCCCAACAUCUAAAUUGCAAUGUUUAAUGAUAAUUUGGAAGUAUUGAAAAUAAUAGUAAUUAAAGUUGAAAAAUAAUAUAACAUGUGGCAUCACCUUGAUUUUGGAAUUUCUUUUCCCCUGUUUUUUUUUUCUCUUGUUCUUUUGCCUGUUCUUCCUCUUCGUCUUUAUGUGAGUUCUAAAAGGUAUUUAUAGGGGAGAACCAGAGCUGUCGAUGGAAGGGGAAAACCCCCAUUUUGGUGCCCUUAGGCCACAGCUUUUGUGCAGUGAAUGAGUUAUGGCAUUGAUAGAGGAGAACCAGAGCUGUUGAUGGUAGUGGAAAACCCCCAUUUUGGUGCCCUUAGGCCAAAGCUAUUGGUGGUCCUAUUUCGUGUAUCAUAUCCCAUCUUAAUUGAAUGUGAAUAUGAUUGUUAACACCUUUAUAAGACUUUAGGUUAAUCACUAUUAGUAAAUUAUGUUUAAACUUUUAAAAAUUAUGUAAUUUAGAUCCGAAAAAUUACUAGACUGGUGAUGUUUGCAUCAGGAUCAUUACACUAUGUGGUUCGGAGUAUGCAUGUUAGAUUACAGCUAACUGAGGGCAGAAGCUGGAAGCAGGAUUAACGACCUAAAUGAGGAAGGCAAAGGAGAGACGUGUCAAGGUCAAGGAUGGAUUAGUAGGAGGGAUACCUUCCAUCUCUGCUCUCCUCAAACACUUAUAUUUGCUUUAAAAUGAUAUGGAAUGUGGACAAAUAAAUAUUUUUUUAGUACAAAAAAAAAAGAAUAGAAGGUAUGUUUGAGAUUUCACUUAAUGACAAUUAAGUGAUUUGGUGUAGCAUUGCUGUAAUGAUCUACAAUAAGGGAUUGAUAAUUUCACACCUAUUGAGGAGAAAUUUAUAUGCUGGUGGAGAAAUUAUCAGUUUGAUUGCUGUUGAUGUUGGGAGGGUUGGAGAGUUUAACUGGUGUUUACAUGGUCUACGGAUGGCCCUUUUGCAAGUUGUACGGAAAUCUUGGUUUUUCCUAACUUGUGGCUUUUGCUGCAACAGUCUUGCUAAUUAAUGCUUGCAAAGCUUCCAUUAGGCAAAUUGCAAUGGAAGCUUCAGGACAAAUUGAUGGAUUCAAAAGGUAAAAAGAAUGAAGGCAACAUCUAAGGUUUUAAAGAAUAUGAGAAUUCUGAAGCUUCAGGGAUGGGAAACGAUGUUCAAUUUGAAUUCAAAAGAAGAAUUUUAAUUUCAUAUUACAAAUUAACAUGAUUUUCAUGAUUAUCAUCAAAUUGUCUGAAUCAUGUUAACGAAGUGCGGAACUUAAAAUUCAUUAUAUAUCUCAGUAUGCAAGCAUUUUGUGAGAGAUUUAAUAUCUGCAGCCCCUACAGAAGACAACUUAUUCACCAUUUGGUUGAAUCCUUAAUUAAUAUUACUCUUUGCCAAAAAUCCAGUUGCACCAGUGAUUAACAUAGUCUUGCCUGGAAGAAACUUGACAACGUUAUCCAACUCUAUAUGCAUGUAUGAGAAUCCAGAAAGAAAUCAAAUUAAAAAAAGUAAUUUAUUUAUUGUAUAUAUUGGAAUAAAAUUGGGUAAAUUUGAAUAAUUUAAUAGAGAAAAGAUCAGAUAUAUAUCCUUCCCAACACUUCACCAAGAAAUUGCAAUGUUUAAUGAUAAUUUGGAAGUAUUGAAAAUAAUAUUAAUUAGUGACUUGAAAAAUAAGAUAACAUGUGGACACCAACUUGAUUUUGGAAUUUCUUUUCCCUUGUUUUUUAUUUUCUUGUUCUUUAACCUGUUUUCCUCAUUUUGCGAAUUUGAGUUUAAGAGGUAUUUAUAGGGGAGAACCUGAGCUGUUGAUGGUUCUUGUCAAAAAUACCUCUCAUACAUAAUGUGCUUUUUUAAAAUAGCUCUCUCUAUAAUUUUAACUAUUUUUAGUCAAGAGAAAUUACUUUUGGACUAAAUUACCUUUAAUGAAACAAACCCAUAUGUUUAGGUCUGCGCCUCAAACUGACUCAUAUCCUUUGAUCUUUCCUCAUCAGACCAUUUAUCUCUGGAGUAUUUCUUACCAGAAAGAAAAACUUUUAAGCAUUUUGAGUAUUUUAGAGUGAUUUUUGAUAUACGUAGAAAACUUUUGAGCGUUUUGAGUAUUUUUAAGCAUUUGGAGUCGUUUUUGAUACAUAAAGAAAAACCUUUGAGCAUUUUAAGCAUUCUUCGACAAGUACGCAUAUUCGUUGAUUAUAUUGUUAAAUAGAAUAUGGUAUAUUAUUUGAAGUUGUUGAUUUUGUUAAAUGAAAUUCAGUAAUUUUGGUGAUUUUUAGGCCUUGGGUAACCGAUAUUUGUGCAUUGCGUGACUAGUUUUUAGGCAUUGCAUUACUAAUUUUUAGGCAUUGCAGGAUUGAUUUUUAAGUAUUAUGUGACUAGUUGAUAUGACAUUACCUAACAGAUUGAUAGACAUUGCGUGACUGGUUAGUAAGGCGUUGCAUAACUAGUUAGGAAGACCUUGUGUGACUUAGGCAUUGCCUAAAAAUCAGUCGCAUAAUACCUAAAAAUCAAUCACACAAUGCCAAAAACCAAUCACGUAAUGCCUGAAUAUUAGAGACGUAAUGAUUAAGGCAUGCAAUGCCUAAAAACUAGUCUUACAAUACCUAAAAGCUAGUAAAGCAAUACCUAAUAACUAAUUGAUUUACUUGCUCGCAGUCAGGUUUAAGUUGCCAAAGUCAUACAGUAUUCUAAUUUUUUUUUUUUAUAAUUGGGGGAGAGGGGAUUCGAACCCUGCUCUUUAAGCAAGGCGAUAAUGCACCAACCAAUGAGCCAAAUGCUCUUGAGUCAUACAAUGUUCUAAUUUAUAGAUAUAUCUAAUCAAUUUCAACCCCCUCAACUAUGGGGUUCUAUGAAUAAAUCAAUAAACCCAAUAACUUAAAACACAUACCUUGAUAUCAUCUCUGCACUUUGGGGUGGCAAGAAAGAGCUGGACGACGAGAUAGACAGUAUUUGCCAAGAGAGAGAAAUCGGGAUUUGAUUUUGAAAUUUUUGUCUGGAUGGUGACAUAAAGAAAACUGAAACCAUUUUAAUUUGUCUGAAAUUAUUUAAAGGGCAUUGUUAUCAAGUCAUGUCAAAAAUUGACUAAAAAUAGUUAAAAUUAUAAUGAAGGAUAUUUUUGAAUUACGUUUAUGAGAAGGAUUAUUUCUCAUAAUUUUCUCUAGUAGAAAACACCCCAUUUUGGUGCCCUUAGGCCACUACUUUUGAGCAAUGAAUGAAGUUAUGGCAACCGAUGGUCCUAUUUCAUGUAAUGGCCUUUCCUUUCUGAAAUUGGGUACUUCAAUCCGAACAUAAAGUUAGGUUUAGUUUCUACCAAAUUUAGGGGCAUGCUAGAGGGAAGCCCCAGCCGAAAGAAUGUGGAGGUGGAUUCCAAUGGGUUUGUUAAGCAGGUGCAGACAUUGCUAUCAGUUUGUCCAGUUUGGCUCUCAGAGUCAAAAAAGGUUGCUCUCUAACAAUCCCUAUCAAGGUCUUAGACUGAACCCCACAAGAAAUAUUUGGUCUUUAAUUACUUGGGGUAAGAAAACAAACAAAAAUUCAGACUAUGAAUUCUUUAUUUUACUUUGAAGCAAAGAUAAAAUGAUGAAGUAUCAACUACACAAAUAAAUGAAGAACUAUCAAAGCAAUAACAUCUGUUAUUGGUCACAACGAAAGUAAUGCAAGUAUUCUCCUUCUUUCCUCAUCCGUUAAGUUGUUCAAAGCUUGAUGCCCACUACUUCGUUUUUUUUUUAAGAUUUGAAGAAGGAGAUUCAAACUUUACUCUUCAAAUAGGAAGAUUAUACAUCAGCUAAUGAAUCAAAUAUUCGUGUGUGCCUUCUAUGUAAAUUUUAUUCAAUUAAUUUUAUUUUUUAAUAAUAAUUAAGAUUUAAUCCAUGUCUUAAGACGCCAGGAAUGUGAAUGUUCAUCAUGUAAUCCUUCCAAUCAAUACUCUUGGAAUCGAAGUCAAAUACACCCAUAUCAAUGCCUCUCCCUUGAGCCACCAUUCGCAACUUGUCUAAAUUUGUGUCACUAAAGCUGUAUAGGGAGAAAAGAACAUUUAAAACAAUUUAAUCAGAGAUUAAAAAAAUUAAAUUGCUAAGCCAAAUGCAAGAAUUUUGAAAUAAUUAAUAAACACAUAUACAUUCUUACUUGCCCUUAAGGAACACAUAAGGUUUGUAAAAUUCUGAGAACCACAUUGCAAACUUGAUUUUGCAAUUAAGGUCCAUGUAAACUUGCCUGAAAUACUGGCAACUAAGGAUGUUCACCAAAUGCAAUACCUUUACAAAUUAGAAACAUAAAAAUAUAUAUAUUAUAAUAAGAAAUGAGAAUUAAUUAAAUAAGAGAAGUUCUUAUAAAAAAUACAAGACAUAAUGUUUUAAGAAACCCUUAAUUAUUCAAUACCCUUAACUUGGCUUCGUAAGAAACGUGACCAAAAUAGUUUUGGCCAUAAUUUCAGGCAGGUUUAUUAAUAUUCAAAAUGAUUAGUUCGCCCCAAAAGAAUAUUUUUCGCUAGACGCUUAAGUCCUAUCAUUAGUCAAUUGCUAAUGUUUCCAGUAUUUGAUGACAUGGCAAUAUUUUAAGGAUAAUUUUACCCUUCAUUAUGUCGUAGCGUGCAAGAAUCGGAACUCGACUGCUACGCUUGCAAAAUUUAGGGAGUCGCCAUCAAAUUAUUUUUUUAUUUAGGUGCGAUUGGCUACAUAUUAAGUUUGUUCUUCUCAACGAAAUCUUAAAUUAAUUUUAGGAUUGCUUAAAGAACAAGACUCGGUCUACGUAUUUCAGAGUUAGAUUCGGAAGCACAAUUAUACACGGGGAAAGAUUAGUAGCCGCAUGACGCCCGUUCUACGAAUAGUACCACUUAAUCAUAUGCUACCCUAUUAACCUUAACUUUUUAUUUUUAUUUUUAUGUUUCCCUAAUCUUUAUUUAUUUAUUUUAUCUUUUAUUUUAUUUACAAAUUAAAACAUUUUUUUCAACCUUACGAGUGAGACAUGCAUAUGAUGCAAUUGUGAAAUACAUGACAUAAAAUCUGGAUAAUGUCAACAAAAACCAUUUAUUGAGUGUACUUUUCAAAUCUGUCCAUCACACUAGUGAGAUUCGGGAGCAUUCUCUCACCUAGAGAAAUAUCCGAAAAACUAGCAUUCGCAAGUUUAACGAGAAAAUCCCAUCAUCGGGUAGUUGUUUGCACGUAAAAACUAUAUUUUAAUAAAUGCAAAUCUUAAUAUGAGCAGAAACUUUUUAUUAAAAAUAUUUUUCGAGCCCUCUCAUCGUACUGGUGGGACUCGAAGGUAUCCUUUCACCUAGAGAAUAGUUGGUUAAAAAUAUUUGUUUACACUAUGUCCAUGAGCACUUUUAUCUUCUAGUUGCCCCAAAUUUGUUUCUGUUUCUAGGUGCGUGUAUGCUUAUAUGGGAAUCCCGUUGCAAUCAAGUAAUAUCUCAUCUGCACUUGCAACAUUCAGGAUGCUUGAGGAGCCCAUUUAUAAUCUUUCCGAUACAAUCUCAAUGACUGUGAUUAGACUAAAAGAUCCCUGAAUAGAAUAUCCUCAUCAUUUCUCAACAUGAUGACCUGCCAGCUGAUGUCAUUCAGAAGCUUCCUAAAGGAAGUACUGACAUAGCAGUUGAUCAGAAGUCCUUCCACCAGUUCCUUGGUUCUUUUGCUCUAUCUUGGCACAUUCGAUACUCUUUUUGUUCUUCAUUCUGGACUUUUCACCUAACCAAAUUCUCUUGUAUUUCAGGAACUUUUCUUGAAGCUUUUGAGUAAAAACAUUUAUAUAUGCUACUCAUCAAAUAGAACUUUAAUUUUACCAAAUGCGAAUCUUAUAUAUCCUAGUGAGUGAUACAUAUAGUUUGAAACAGUAACUCAUCUUUUCUAGGAAAAUAAGAUAUCCCCUACCUCUACAUUCCUUUUAAUGGUAACGAGUUUGUCGUAACAUACGGGUCCGGGAACCCAACCGUCAGACGCGAAUGUGAAAACUCACUAAAAAAUUAAACUAAGAGUCGCCACCAAUCUUUUUUACUAGGUGCGAUUGGCCACCUAUUGACUUGAUUCUAAUCGAUGAAAACAUAAAUUAAUUUUAAGCCCACCGAAAAGAACCUUAAACUGGUCUACGAUUUUCUAGAUCAAGGCUCGGGAGUACGGUUACGCCCGGGAAAAGAUUAGCACCCACGGGACGCCCGUUCCAUGAACGGUUAUCAUUCUUAGAUUAUCCUAUUAGGCUUUAAUUUUUAAAUUAGCUAUAUUUCCUUAGUUAUUGUUCACUUAUUUUUAUCUCCUAUUUGACUUAAAAUGGAAUGCAAAUAUGAGGCAAGAUGCAUGGUGUGAAAAAAAAGCCGAAUGAAUAACUUUUUAUCGAGGAUAUUUUCUCAAAUCCGCCCAUCAUACUGGUGGGACUCGAGGUAUUCUCUCACCUAGGGAAUUAUCUGAGAAAUUCACCUUCGCAAAUUUGACGAAUAAUUCCUAUCAUCGGAGUUAUCGUACGUUUUCUUUAAAAAUAAUGUUUUCGUGCAUAAUGAACCUAAUUCGAGCAAAAGCCUUUUAUUAAAGAUGUCUCUCGAGCCCUCCCAUCAUACUGGUGGGACCCGAGGAUAACUUUUCACUUAGGAAACUUUUCGAGAAAUACUCGCCUUCGCAAGAUCCUCGAAAGAUCCCAUCAUCGGGGCUUAAACUCGAAAAUAGAAAUAUUUAUAUGCAAUGAUAUGUAUGAUGCAAUAUAUAUAUGCUAUGCUAAUGCAAUUAUCUAUAUUUUUUAGUUAUUAUUAAUUAAUUAUUAUUUUUAUUUUAUUAUAUUUUUUGUUAUCAUAUUUUCUAUUCUUAUUUCUUAUUAUUAUUUUUUUAUACUUUACAUUUUUUGUUCUAAGUUCUUAUGUUUUUCAUUUAUAAUUAGACAAAUUGUUUAUAAUUCUAUGUUAUUUUAGUGAACAAAAAUUUUAUAUAUUUUUUUUAUUAUACUAUUUUUAUUUUAUAUAUUUUUAUAUUUUUAUUAUUAUAUUUUUUCAUAAGCAAUCUUUUAUUCAAACCUAAUACCUAAGAUCUUAUUUUUUAUAUAUAUAUAUAUAUAUAUAUUUACAUUUUUUAUAGUUUAUGCCACUUAAUAUUCAAUGCUUAAUUUUACAUUAGUUGUUUUUUAUUAUUUUUUUAUUUUUUUAUUUAUUUAAUGUCAUGUAUAUUGUAUUUUCACAAAUUAAUUAUUUAUUAUAUGUUUGAAUUAUUAUUAUUUUUUAUCAUUUAUUAUUUAUUUAUUAUUUUUAUCAAGUAAUUUUUUUGGUAUAGUCAAACUCUUUAUUUAUUACGAAUUUCGAAAUCUUGAAAUCGAUGCUCUUCCAUCGUACUGGUGGAGCCUUGAUUCGGAUUCCGAACCUAGGGAAUAUCGGCCUAGGAUUACGACUUCUCGUAUCCCGACCGAUUAUCCCAUCAUCGGCAAUGUUUACUUAUCGAAUAACUCAUCACUUUGUCCCAUUCUCAUUCUUUUUCAUUUAUGAAACUAUCUUUUUAAAUACUUUGACAAUUACAUAUUUCAUUCUACUAUAUUUUCUAUUUCUAUUAUUUUAUUAUUUUUUCUUAUCCUUUUCCAUGUACAAUAUCCCUCUAAGACUAUUUACCAUGUUAUUAUUUUUUACUUAAAUGUUCAUUUAUUUUCCUACUCAUUUUUAUUUUUGGAUCUAUUUUUAAAACUAACCCUUCUCUUCCCUUUUUUUUUUACCUAAAUUUUGCUAUUAUCUAUUAUAUAAUUAAAUGUAUAGAUUCUUAUAUUUUUACCUUAUCCCAUUUCUUGUAUAUAAAAUUUUAAUUUCAUUUUUUUAAAAAUAACUAAAAUAAAUAAAUAUAUAAAACAAAAAUAAAGAAAAGACAAAGCAUUCACAAUAGGCAUCAAGGAUUCAAGCCCAAUAAUUGUAGAGCCCAGAACAUACCAAGGUCGGGCUUGGACUAGCCCAAAACUGAACCCACAGAUGCCCACAAUAGCUCCAGAAGCCCACUCCUCCUUCAGCCAAAAUGCACCGUUUAGUGCCUUGCUUCAGCUGCCUCCUACUAGCCAAAACGACGUCGUUUAAUGCUUCAGCCCUAGCUAUUUAAACUUCUUUUCUUUCCUCCCUUUUCAUUUUCCCCUCUCACUUUCUCUCUCUACCACCAGAUCUCUCUCUUUUCUCUCUCUAAAAAUCAAACCUAACUUUAAAAAGAACCCUACUACCGGCGUCAACUUCUCUCUCCAAAACCCUUCGCCGACCGGUCGCCUAGAUCUAUUCUUUCUUUGCCCAACCGAUUCUCUCUCUCUUUGUUCCUAUGCCCACCGUUUGAAUCUCUCUCUCUCUCUCGAUGAUCGAAUCUCAGAUCGAUUACCCUGAAAUGACCGAUCGGUGACAAACGAAAGUCAGCUCUCACUUCCUUCCUCGCCGGUGAUUCAGAUCUAAGAAACCCGAAUCCCUCUCUUUUCUUCACUGCCGUCGUCAGUUUCCUUUCACCGAUGGCACAACAAACCAAGCCUCCUAUCCAGUGACAGCAAAACCCAGACUUAAACGCCCCACAAACAUUACAAAGACCCCAAACUCUCUCUCUCUGACCAGCGACACAACCUAAACCUCAAAAUCCUUUUUUUUUGUAUCUUUUUUUUUUUGUUUUGGAUUCCCCGGUUGCUAGUGAAUAUAGGGUAUUUGUUGUGGCUAGGUAUUUGGGUUGCUAGAAAGUUAGGAUUUUUGAUUUUUUUUGUUGUCUCCCCCCUUUUCGAUUGCUACAGUGCCCCCUCCCCUUUAUACCCGGUUCCUGGGCACUGGGGAGGGGGCACAUUCCACUACCUUGCCAGACGCGAAUUUUUUGCAUCUGGCAGGGUGAGGGAGGUGCCUGGCAGGGUGCGUCCGCACCCUGCCAGUCGUACCUUUCUCCCCCCUUUUUUCAUUUCUUCUUUAUUUUUUAAUUUUUAUUAUUUUUAUUAUAUUUUUUUAAUUCAUUUUUUCGUUUAUGAUUUUAGUGUCUACAACUGCCCCUCUUUGCGCAUUUCGGAAAUUCGAAAUAGUGCAAAGACGUAGACACUGUAUUUGACUAAAUUCUUUAAUUCUCUUACCAAGUUUUUUUUUCUUAAAUGAAUUCCUCAAAAUUGAGGCAAUGCGACUUUUAAAAAUGAACUCUUCAAAACUGAGGCCACGAGACUUUUAAAAUAAACUCCUCAAAACUGAGGCAAUGGGACUUUUAAAAUGAACUCCUCAAAAUUGAGGCAACGAGACUUUGAAAAUGAACUCCUCAAAACUGAGGCAACGCAACCUUUUAAAAUGAACUCCUCAAAAUUGAGGCAACGAGACUUUAAAAUGAAACUUAAAAUUGAGGCAACGAGACUUUAAAAUGAACUCCUCAAAAUUGAGGUAACGAGACUUUAAAAAUGAACUCCUCAAAACUGAGGCAACGAGACUUUAAAAAUGAACUCCUCAAAACUGAGGUAACGCAACCUUUUUUCCUUUUUUGGAAUGGUGAAAAAUAAUCAACUCCUCAUCUGAAGUUCUAUGAUUUUAAAGAUGAAUUUUCCUCUUUUUCAAUUGUUUUAAAAUUGUGGACAUGGCAAUUCAUCUUCAUCAGUUUCCUUUUUUUUUUUGGUGUUUUAAAGCCUUCUCUUUAAUCAAUGGGGGAUGAAUCGAUCACGCUUCUGAUCUCUCAUCUUCCCCAAUUCAUUGCUCAUAACUGUUUUCUUCCUCUAUCAUAUGCAUGGUCCAAUCAUUCUUCACAUUUUUACUAUGCUCCAUUCUAUUGCUAUUUCCAUUUCUUUCUUUCUUUUCUUAGUCUUUUCUCUUUUCUUUUUUUACAUUACCAGACUCCAUUUCAUUCCUUGUCAAUUACGAUCCUUUUUCAAAAUAUUGCAAACAUUUCUUACUUUAUCAUGCUCUUUAUUAAGUAUCAUUCCAAUUUUAUGACAAAUGCAAUGCAAUGUACUCAUAUCUCCUCUCUUGGCAGAAUGGAAAUGAUGGCAUUGUUGGGAGCAGAAAGGCUACUUUUCAUUAGAAAAAAUGGGAGUUUCUACAAUCAAGCAUAAUGACAAGGAACAGGGGAAAAUUGAUUAAUACGAAAGGGAUACAGUUCUUUUUUAUUGACUGUUUCGAUAGAUAUUAACAGUAGUCUUGAAAUUUUAUCCCGAAACAGGCACAUUUGUCAGCUCCCUUAUCUUUUGUAUAAACAUCUCGGAUCAUGAUCUUCACCCUUUCUGUGUUAAGCUUUUGUAGUACUUGGACCUCCUUCGUGUCUAGACCGCCCUUUCGGGUUUUCGCCCUAAACAUAUCUCCCAAAUUCAAGCCGCAUUUUCAGGUUUUCAACUUGAAAAAUUUUUUUUUUAUGCAAAAUAUUUCUUGAGAGCAUCGGCAUUCACCGGGUUGGAAAACUCCCUUCCGUCCAUCUCCGCCAAAAUUAGUGCUCCUCUUGAAAAAGCUUUCUUCACCACAAAUGGUCCUUCCCAAUUCGAUGUCCAUUUCCCGCGAGGAUCAUGCUGGUUCGGGAGAAUUCUUUUCAAUACUAAUUCUCCUUCUCGGAACUGUCGAGGAUGUGCCUUCUUGCCAUAUGCCCUCAUCAUUCUCUUUUAAUAUAACUGCCCAUGGCAAAGUGCCGUCAACCUUUUUUCUUCUAUGAGAUUCAAUUGCUCAUAUCGAGCAUUAACCCAUUCGGCUUCUUUCAAUUGUACUUCUUUAAGGACCCGAAGGGAAGGGAUUUCCACUUCAAUUGGCAAAACUGCUUCUAUCCCAUACACCAAAGAGAACGGUGUAGCUCCCGUGGAAGUUCGGACUGUUGUGCGAUAAGCAUGCAAAGCAAAAGGUAACUUCUCAUGCCAAUCUUUGUAUACAUCUGUCAUCUUUUCAAUUAUCCUUUUGAUGUUCUUGUUGGCUGCUUCUACCGCUUCAUUCAUCUUUGGGCGAUAAGGCGUUGAAUUGUGAUGCUUGAUCUUGAACUUAGCACAAACCUCUUUCAUCAUCGAACCAUUGAGGUUACUAGCGUUAUCCGUGAUGAUCCUUUUCGAGAGACCAUAGUAGCAUAUUAUUUCUUUUUGGAUGAACUUACAUACCACUUUCUGGGUCACACUAGCAUAAGAUGCUACUUCUACCCACUUAGUGAAGUAGUCAAUUGCCACCAGAAUAAACCGAUGCCCAUUUGAUGCCUUCGGGGUUAUCAACCCAAUCACAUCCAUGCCCCACAUUGAGAAUGGCCAUGGUGAUGUCAAUACAUGUAGUGAAUUAGCAUGAGUGUGGAUUCCGUCUGCGUAUAUCUGACACUUGUGACACUUUCGAGCGAAAUCCAUACAAUCCGUUUCCAACAUGAGCUAGUAAUACCCUACUCUCAUGACUUGUCUUGCCAACAUAUGCUCACUUGCAUGUGCCCCACAAAUUCUUUUGUGGACUUCUUCAACUAUUCUCCGAGCUUCGAUUGAAUCCACACAUCUCAAAAGCACUUGAUCUCUACUUCUCUUAUAUAAGAUGUCCCCAUCCAAAACGAAAUUCAUUGCCAACCUUCUAAUGGUUUUCUUGUCAUUUUCUGAGCUUUGUUCCGGAUACUGCUGAAACUUUAGAUAAUGCACAAUAUCAUGGUACCACAGUUUCCCGUCUACUUCUUUCUCUACACUGGAACAGUGUGCAGGGCACUCUCAAAGAUUAAUCAUGAUGGGUUGAAUCUUGACAUCGGUACCAACUUUGAACAUUGCUACUAGCGUAGCUAAUGCAUCAGCCAUUUGGUUCUCCUCUCGAGGCAAAUGGGUGAAGCGAAUCUUAUCAAAAUUUUCAAUCAGCUUUGAAACAUACUUAUGGUACCGGACUAACUUCAAGUCGCGUGUCUCCCAUUCUCCUCGCAACUGAUAAAUGACCAAAGCAGAAUCCCCGUACACUUCCAAAACGUGAAUUUUCCUCUCGAUUCCUGCUUGAAGACCCAUGACACAAGCUUCAUAUUCGACCACAUUAUUGGUACAAUAGAAGUUGAGUUUAGCUAUGACGGGAUAAUGAUCUCCUUCUGGUGACACCAACACGACCCCUAUGCCAUGCCUCAAGGCAUUUGAAGCUCUGUCGAAAAACAUCUUCCAACUCUCUUUCUCUUCUGAUUCUUCCUCAUUUGUUUGACAAAUCGACAUCAGGUCCUCAUCUGGAAACUUAAACUCCAUUGAUUCAUAAUCCUCAUCUACCCUUUCAGCCAGAAAAUCAGCGAUUGCACUUCCUUUGAUAACUUUUUGGGACACAUAUACAAUAUCAUAUUCAGACAACAACACUUGCCAUCUUGCCACUCUUCCUUAUAAGGAUGGUUUCUCGAAGAUGUAUUUAAUAGGAUCCAACUUCGCAAUGAGACAAGUGGUAUGAUAUAGCAUGUACUGCCUGAGUCGAUGCGUCAUCCACGCUAAAGCACUACACAUUUUUUUCAACGAGGAAUACUUGGACUCGUACUUAGUGAACUUUUUACUUAAGUAGUAAAUUGCCCUUUCUUUCUUACCAGUUUCAUCAUGCUGUCCCAACACACAUCCCACGGAUCAUUCAUUUACUGUCAGGUAUAAGAGGAGGGGUCUCCCAGCCACAAGUGGUACCAAUACUAGCGAACUCAACAGAUAUUUUUUAACCUUGUCAAAAGCAACUUGGCACUCCUCAUUCCAUGCCCCAGGAUUAUGUUUGCGAAGGAGUUUGAAGAUCGGGUCACAUUUGAGUGUGAGUUGUGAUAAGAACCGGGCUAUAUAAUUUAAUCUUCUCAAAAAUCCUCUAACUUCUUUUUGAGUUUUGGGAUGAGGCAAAUCACGGAUUGCUUGAACCUUAUCCGGGUCAACUUCUAUUCCUCUUUCACUGACGAUGAAACCUAGUAGCUUUCCUGAAGUGACUCCAAAAGUACACUUUGCUGGAUUUAAUCUAAGCUGAAAUUUUCGUAAUCUCUUGAAUAAUGUUUCAAGAUUGGUCGCAUGGUCCUCUGUUUUGCGAGCUUUUACAAUCAUAUCAUCCAUAUACACCUCAACCUCUUUGUGCAUCAUAUCAUGGAAGAGAGUCACCAUAGCUCGCUGAUAAGUUACCUCGGCAUUUUUCAAACCAAAUGGCAUUACCUUUUAACAAAAGGUCCCCCACAUAGUUAUGAAGGUAGUUUUCUCUCUAUCCUCUGGUGCCAUCUUAAUUUGGUUAUACCCUGAAAAGCCAUCCAUAAAGGAAAACAUGGAAUGGCGAGCAGUAUUGUCAACAAGGGUGUCAAUGUGGGGAAGAGAAAAAUUAUCUUUUGGGCUAGCUCUAUUCAAGUCUCGAUAAUCCACACACAUUCUCACUUUCCCGUCUUUCUUAGGUACUAGGACAAUAUUUGCAACCCAUUCAGGGUACUUAGCUACUUCCAAGAAUCCUGCAUCGAACUGCUUUUUCACCUCUUCUUUAAUUUUCAACAACAUUUCAGGUUUCAUUCUUCUCAACUUUUGCUUAAUCGGUUUGCAUUCGAGUUUCAAAGGCAGUUUAUGGGCUACAAUGUCUGUAUUGAGUCUUGGCAUAUCUUGAUAAGACCAUGCAAACACAUCUACAUAUUCAUGAAGUAGCUUUAUUAGUUUUUCUUUUUCCAUUGACACCAACGUCACACCAAUUCUAACUUCUUUCUUAUUUUCGUCAUUUCUCAAAUUUAUCGUUUCAAGUGUCUCUUUAUGUGGGACAAUUUGUCUCCCCUCCUGUUCUACUAGUCUUAACAAGUCCAGAGUUAAAUCAUAAUCCUCCACGUUUUCUGUAUCGUCAAGUUCACUAACACUUGUACCUUUUUCGAAAUUAACUUCAAAACCAAUGUCAUUAUCAUCUUUGCAUUCAUUAUUUGGAAUCCUGGAAGGUAAAGGGGAUUGAAAUAUGUAGAGCUAUUGUAUAGAUAAACAGUUAAAAUAAAAGGAUGAAAUGACACGAAUGGAAAUGGUUAAUCAUGAGAAGAGAUAUGAGAAAUGUACUACGCAUGUCCAUUUAUUAGAAUGAUAAAUGAUAAAAAAGCCUGAUACAUAAAAUUCCAAUGCUUUUGGGCAUAAGCAUGGAUGUUUAGUUUGCAUUACUUUGAAAUUGAAUCACAAGUGACUAGUAAACUCAUGGUGGUCCAGCUGCUCAACUUUAGAUUCGAUGGCCCGAAGUAUGUAGUAGGAAUCCCAUCCACAUUUCCUGACUGUUCUUCAGCUUCCUCUGUUGCACAUAUUGAUAAAUCAGAAAAGGCUUCCCCUAAAGCUGACACUGAUUCUCGGCUCCCAACGGUGGGUGAUUCAAGAAAGAUGCAACCUCCAAAUCGGAAUGUCUCGUAGAGAUGAGGAUAUAUGUCAUUCCUUGGAUUUCCAACUCAUGCCUCUUAAAGCGAGCCAACCUUUCUUUUCUUCUUUCGGCUAUCAUUUCUUCUCUUUCCUUCUUAGUUGGCUUAUACCUCAGGCCAAACCUUUCUUCAUUUUUGGUAGCACGUAUGGGCCUUCUAAUACCUUGUAGUUCUUUUCCCAAUCCUGCCCCCGCUCGGUAUCCUGUUCCUACUAUCUGACUGACAGCCAUCUUAGUGGUUUUGGAAAGCCUCGAAAUAGGCGGUGUGGUUCCUUCUCCAACAUAUGUGGUGUUAACAAACUCGAAGGAUCGAAAGGAACAUUCAGGCACUUCUUCCGCCGUUUCCACGUAAGGAGUAUCUGUUGGCUUGCUUAUGAGUAAGUCCUCUUCCCCGUUAACACAGACAAUCUUCCCAUCUACGAUGAACUUGACCUUCUGAUGAAGAGAUGAAGGUAUGGCCCUAGCCAUAUGGAUCCAAGGUCUUCCCAACAAAUAAUUGUAUGAAGGAGCGAUAUCCAUAACCUGGAAUUCAAUGGUAAAGGUACACGAGCCAAUUUCUACCGGUAUCUCAAUGUCCCCUACUACUUCUCUCUUUGUUCCGUCGAAGGCUCUCACGAUCAUUUGACUCUUUCGCAUGUAGGACAUGUUGAUGGGUAAACGGGCCAAGGUCCUCAUGGGCAUCACAUUUAAGGACGAUCCGUUGUCAAACAGUACCUUUGCGACGGUACAGCCUUUACACUUGGUAGUGAUAUGCAAGGCUUUGGAAUUUCUUCUACCUCCAGAAGGGAUUUCUUCAUCGCUAAAGGAUAUUAUGUUACCCACCGAAAUGUUUCCAACGAUGUAGUCCAAAUUUUCAACUUAGAUAUCGUGAUCCACAUAUGCUUAGUUCAGAAUCCUCAUCAAAGAGUUCCUAUGUGGUUUCGAGCUGAGAAGCAAAGAUAGUAGUGAAAUACGAGCGGGCAACCUGUUCAAUUGCUCGACCACAUUGUACUCACUAUGUUUGAUAAACUUGAGGAACUCGGCAGCUUCUUUUUCCGUCACCAGUCCUUUUGAGCCAUCUGUCGAUUCCGGAGGUUGCACCUUUUCUUCUCUCGAUCUUUGCUCUUUUUCCUUUCCUUUCUCAUUCUUGAGAUUCUCCAAUGCUUCCGGUGAAUAGCAACGUCCGUUGUGUCCGCACCCUGCCAGUCGUACCUCUCUCCCCCCUUUUUUCAUUUCUUUUUUAUUUUUUAAUUUUUAUUAUUUUUAUUAUAUAUUUUUUUAAUUUAUUUUUUUGUUUAUGAUUUUAGUGUCUACAGAGUUAGCAUUUGAAAAAUGGCAUUCUUGCUAUUAGAUGAAUCGAUCCUGGCAAUCGCUUUCUUAAUAUUUGCUGUCAGAGAAGAUGGAGAGAAUUGGAUCGUGGGGCAGAAGCAACCACUAGUCUGUACAAAUGGAUAGCCAGCUAAAAAGACAAGGUUCACCAUUCAGUUGGGGGUAAAAAAUUCCCCUCCACUUUUUUGAUGAACCAUUCAUUUCUCGAAGGUGUUUAACAAUGAAUAAUUCUUUAUUUUAUUUGAAAGCACAGAUGCUAUCAAGUACACAAAUAGUCACAUAUUGAAAGUAAUGCAAGUAUUCUCCACCUUUCCCUUAUCUGUUAAGCUGUUCAAAGCUUGAUACCCUCUACUUAAAUCUUAUUCAAAGGGUCCUGCAUACAAAUUUAUAAAGAUGUCGGUAAUAGAAUAAUAUUAUUCUUGACAAUAAUUAAGAUUACAUCGCAUGUCUUAAGAGGCCAGGAAUGUGAAUGUUCAUCAUGUAAUCCUCCCAAUCAAUACUCUUGGAAUCGAAGUCAAAUACACCCAUAUCAAUGCCUCUCCCUUGAGCCACCAUUCGCAACUUGUCUAAAUUUGUGUCACUAAAGCUGUAUAGGGAGAAAAGAGCAUUUAAAACAAUUUAAUUAGUGAUUAAAAAUAUUAAAUUGUUAAACCAAAUGCAAGAAUUUUUAAAUAAAUAAUAAACUCAUAUGCAUACUCACAUGCCCUUAAAGAAGGUAUAAGGCUUGUAAAAUUCUGCCAACCGCAUUGCCAACUUGACUUUGCGAUUAAGGUCCAUGUAAACUUGCCUGAAAUACUGGCCACUAAGGGCAUUCACCAAAUACAAUACCUUUACAAAUUCGAAACAUAAAAAUAUAUAUUAUGAUAAGAAAUGAGAAUUAAUUAAAUAAGAGAAGUUCUGAUAAUAAAUACAACACCUAAUGUUUAAAGAAACCUUUAAAUUAUUUAAAAAAAUUUUAAAUAAACUUUUAUUCUUUUAUUACGUUCAAUUAAAUCUUUGUGCUUUUAUUUUAAGUCAAAUAGAUUUUUAUAACUAAUGGUUAAUUAACUGUCAUUAAUCAAAACGUCACAUGUCAUUUGAUGUCAAGCGAUGCUAACGUGGCAUUAAGGUGGAGGGUGAAAAAUAUCACAUGGCCAUUUCAUCAUGUCACUAUCUAUCAUAACAUGUCAGCAUACCAUCUCAACACCACAUGACAUAAAAUGAAAUGAAAUGUUUUGACUAAUUAUAGUUAGUUAACCGUUAGUUUUAUAGACUUAUUUGGCCCAAAACAAAAAUAUAACGGUUUAAAUGAAUGCAAUAAAAAAAUAACAUAUUUGAAUUUGUCUGAGUUGUUCAAACACAUUUUUAGAUAAUAUGUCAAAAUAAAAAUUAAGAUUGUGACAAACCUUCAAUGGGAAGACAUAUUUAAUCCACAUGUACAGAAAAAAUCCAUUGACUGUGCUCAACACUGUUCCUUUACGAACUUUAACUCUUUGUCCAUCUCUAUUAAUCCAUGGCUUUUUAGUGAAAUAAUGAUAUACAAAUUUAUGAAGAUCCCCGAAUUUUAUAGGAUUUUUAAAUGAGGAGCUAACAUGGUAAAUGGCCGGACAAGAUUGAUAAUUCGUGUGAACAACCAUGGCCACAGCCAUUGCAUUUACCACCAUGUCCGCUGGUAUCUGCAUAAAUUUUGAAAUUCACGUGUUUAAUUUCACUUGCAAUUAUACCCAGCUAUAGGAAGAAAAGGGUAUAUGUUACCUAGAGACUAAAAAUACUCACCACAUCGAGGGCAUAGCUAGGAUAGCCAGGAAAACAUGUUAAUUUCCCCUUGCCAUAACUCACAAUGACGCUAUCUAUGGUUCUGUAGUAACGCAAAAAUUAAUGAGUCAUUAUUCCAAAUACACAACGUUAAUGAAAGCAAUAAUUUUUUUAAAAAAAAAAUUAAUGAAUGCGAUAAAUUGCAUUAAUGAAAUAUAAUAAUAAUCCUAAAUCAAAUACCAUAAAAAUUUGAAGUUACAAUUUGGUCGUGAUAAUUACCUCACACCUUCAAUCCAGCCAGGGAAGGGUUCUUUAUAAGUGCUUGCAAUCAUGGUAGGGCGGAUAAUGACAAGAGGCAAAUCUCCUUUGAAGUUCCCUAAAAGCAUCUCUCCCAUUGCCUUUGUAAACACAUAUGUGUUAGGCCACCCAUACAAUUUUGCCCUGUAUUCAUAAGAAACAAGGUUUGUCAUUGUUUUCUUUCUACUUUUUUUUUUUAAUUUAAGAAAUCGUCCAUACUAUUCAAGGUGAAGUGGAAAUAACGACGGUGAGAGAGAAACCUUUUGAGACCGAAUUCCAUCAUUUCUGAUUUUAUUACUUCGUUUGGGGCAUGUUGGAAUCGCAAUUCAUCUAAUUUUUCCUCCACAAUUCUCUUCUCUUCAGUAAUGUCUAAUUUAAAUGUUUUCAACAGUGUGUCAUCCAUGGAAAAUGGUUUCUCUAAUAUGAUUCCUACUUGUUCACCGCACACGUAGGCUAAAAGAAAAUUAUGAUAAAAAGCAUGAUUGUCAAUCUUAAUUCAUCUCCGAUAUAAGUACUGAAUGUACUAAAAUUUAACUAUGUAUAUAGCUAAUUUCAAUUACUAAUCAAUCAAGAACUAUCAAUGUCAUAUUCACCAGUUGAUGUGUGGAGAAACAACUUUAUCGCAUCACAUUUCUUUGCAAAGUUCAAAGCGUUGAAAGCUCCAAACGUAUUGAUGGCCAAUGCAACAUCAUACCUUGAAAAAUAAGAGGAAAGAAGUAAAGAAAAGCGGCAAAUUAUAGGCAAAAUUAUGUUCUUAAGACAUACUCCUACAAUUCAAAUAUGAGGAUUCUAAAUUACCUUUCAUUGAAUCCUGUCAUGGCAGCAACAUGUACUACAAUUUCUAUUUCUUUCAACAUUUGUUCCCUUAAUUUUGAUUCAUUCACCCCCAAGUUUUCGGAAGAGAUAUCGCCAGGCACUGCUAUUACCUUGGUUGAUAUAAAGGAAUCAAAUUCCGAACCCCAAUUGUCUCGAAGAAUCGUAAACAAUUCUGUAUCUAUAAUCUACAUAAAAAUUAAGACGUGUAAGUUUUUUUUUGUGAAUUUGAAAUUGAAUUUUAUAUCAUGUGUAACAAAUUGGAUCAAAAUAAAAAUUUUAAUUUUAAAUUUAGUAUGAAUCAUAUGAUCGAAUAGUAGUAAUUACGAAUAUGACUUUCAUGAUUAUCGUAAAAUUGUCUGAAUUAUGGAACUUAAAAUUCAUUAUAUACCUCACUAUGCAGGCGUUUUGUGGCAGAUUUAGCAUCUGCAGCCCUCAAAAGAAGAUACAGCUUAUUCACAUUUGGUUGAAUCCUUAAUAUCUUCUCGACAAAGACUGAAACCGUAGUUGAGAAUUAAAUCAUUCAGUAAAACUAAAAUGAUUAAUUAUAUUGUCUUAAAUGAAAUCAUCAUCCUUGGCUUUGUAAGAGAGAGAUUACUCUUUGCCAAAAAUCCAGUUGCACCAGUGACUAAAAUAGUUUUGCCUUGAAGAAACUUGACAACAUGAUCCAACUCCAUAUUCAUGUCUGAGAAGCCAAAAAGAAAUCAAAUUAAAGAAGUAAUUUAUUUAUAAUAUUUAUUGGAAUAAAAUUGGCUAAAAUUCAAUAUUUGAUAGAGAAAAGAUAAGAUAAAUAUAUCCUUCCCAACAUGUAAAUUGCAAUGUUUAAUGACAAUUUGGAAGUAUUGAAAAUAAUAUUAAUUAAAGUUGAAAAAUAAUACAACAUGUGACAUCACCUUGAUUUGGGAAUUUCUUUUCCCCUGCUUUUUUUUUCUUGUUCUUUUGCCUGUUCUCCCUCUUCUUCUUUAUGUGAGUUGUAAGAGGCAUUUAUAGGGGAGAACCAGAGCUGUCGAUGGAAGUGGAAAACCCCCAUUUUGGUGCCCUUAGGCCAGAGCUUUUGUGCAAUGAAUGAGUUGUCGCAUUGAUAGGGGAGAACCAGAGCUGUUGAUGGUACUUUCAUUAUUACUAUGAGAAUGAUAUUGCCAUCACAUUGCUGCACACAGUUUCGUAAAUUUGAUUGUGACGUCGAAUAUUAAUUUUUGGCACUGGGACGAAAGUGACUGGAGGAAAGAGGGAGGGGGACCUGCCAUUCGCUGACCAUUUGGCACUGAUUGGAAGAGAUAAUUAAGGCCAACUAGGUUUUUUUUUUUAGUUUAUGAAAUAAAAGUAAAUUCAUUUAUGUGGAAAUAAAUGCAUAAACACGUUUCAGUGGGUGAAUUCAAGCCAAUAAACACAUAAAGCUAUGAAUCUAUAUUGAUCAAACCGUAGUCAUUUUCCAAUUAGAACUCGUUAAACAUAAAACAUUUACCUCUAAAUACCAUUGGCUGAUCAAUUAGGUGAAAAACAAGACUAGUUGAACUGUGUACUAGCUAGUUUUCUUUCAGAGGAAACUGUCCAUAUAUAGUCACAUUUUACCGUUUCAGGCGUUGUUCCAUCAAGUAAAAUCACCAGCUACUAGACGUACCCGGGCAGAGUUAAUCAAUUUUUGUUAGAUAAAUCAAAAACAAAGUGAAAUAAAAGUUUAAAAUUUUUUAAAUUAAUACAUUGCAUUUAAACAACAAUCAAAAGUUUCAUCAUAGAAAAUAAUUUUAUAUGACAUAAAUUGAAAAAGAUAAGAAAGAAAAACUAACAAAAAAGUUGUGCUCGAUGAUACUUUCUAGAUUCAUAAAAUAUAAUGCAUAAAAUAUAUAUAGUUAACUAUGAUAUAUAAAAUUUCACACAAUAAUUAAAUAAUAUAAAUAGAAAGAAAUGUGUUAGUUUACAGUAUUCAAGUUCACAAGAUCAUAACUACGAUAUACACAGUAAAGAAAACUUUACUGUAUCCAAGUUCACAAGAUCAUAAAUCUCUCUUUUAAAUAAUGAAAUGUGUUUCAGUAGUUAAUUACAUAAGAGAGAGUAAAGUAAAAUAAAAGAACAAAAAGAGAAGAGAAAGAGAGGGAAAAAGAGGUGUGAAUAAACUUAAAUUAGGGUAACGUUAAUUAGGAUUUGUAGAGUCAUUUUUUUUUUAAUUGGGAGAGGGGGAUUAGAACCCUGCUCUUUAGGCAGGGGGAUUAUGCACCAAUCAAUGAGCCAGGUGCUAGGAUUUGUAGAGUUAUUUUAUUAUUUAUUAUUUAUAUUAAUUAUUAAAUAAAAAAUUAUUUUGAGGAAUAUUAAAAAUAUAUAAUAAAAAAAUAUUUCAAAAUUUUUGAAGGGGUCACAACUUCCUUAAAUAUACUACUCUCUAAGAUUAUUAAAAAAAUAUAUAAUCAUUACAAAUUUUCAAAAAUUUUCUCAUAACAAUAUCACUCUCUGCCCCUGAACACACCGAUUAACAACAAAUGAUAUUUUGUGAACUAUGAUGUUUACAUAUAUAACUAUGCAUAGCAUUUCUUUAGGGUUAAGAAAAAAUAUUUUAGUAAUUCUACUUUUAAUUCAAACUUACAUAUAUGAUGUUUAUCACUAUUAGCAAAUUACGUUUAAACUUUUAAAAAUUAUGUAAUUUAGAUUCGAAAAAUUACUAGACUAGUGAUGUUUAAAUCAGGAUCGUUGGUUCGGUGUAUGCUUGUUAGAUUACAGCUAACUGAGGGCAGAAGCUGGAAGCAGGAUUAACUACCGCAAAUGAGGAAGGCAAAGGAGAGACAUGUCAAGGUAAAAGAUGGAUUAGUAGGGGGGAUACCUUCCCUCUCUGCUCUCCUCAAACACCUAUAUUUGCUUUAAAAUGAUAUGGAAUGAGGACAAAUAAAUAUUUUUUUUAUACAAAAAAAUAAUAGAAGGUAUGUUUGAGAUUUCGCUUAAUGACAAAUAAGUGAUUUGGUGUAGCAAUGCUGCUAUGAUCUACAAUAAAGGAUUGAUAAUUUCACACAUAUUGAGGAGAAAUUUAUAUGCUGAUGGACAAAUUAUCAGUUUGAUUGCUGUUCAUGUUGGUAGGGUUGGAGAGUUUAACUGGUAUUUACAUGGUCUAUGGAUGGCCCUUUUGCAAGUUGUACGGAAAUCUUGGUUUUUCCUAACUUGUGCCUUUUGUUGCAACAGUCUUGCUAAUUAAUGCUUGCAAAGCUUCCAUUAGGCAAAUUGCAAUGGAAGCUUCAGGACAAAUUGAUGGAUUCAAAAGAUCAAAAGAAUGAAGGCAACAUCUAAGGUUUUAAAGAAUAUGAGAAUUCCGAAGCUUCAGGGAUGGGAAAUGAUGUUCAAUUUGAAAUCGAAAGAAGAAUUUUAAUUUCAUAUUACAAAUUAACAUGAUUUUCAUGAUUAUCAUCAAAUUGUCUGAAUCAUGUUAACGAAAAAUGGAACUUAAAAUUCAUUAUAUAUUUCAGUGUGCAAGCAUUUAAAUUGUGACAGAUUUCAUAUCUGCAGCCCCAACAGCAGACAGAGCUUAUUCACCAUUUGGUUGAAUCCUUAAUAUUAAUCUUUGCCAAAAAUCCAGUUGCACCAGUGACUAACAUAGUCUUGCCUGGAAGAAACUUGACAACGUUAUCCAACUCUAUAUUCAUGUGUGAGAAUCCAAAAAGAAAUCAAAUUAAAAAAAGUAAUUUAUUUAUUGUAUAUAUUGGAAUAAAAUUGGGUUAAUUUGAAUAAUUUAAUAGAGAAAAGAUCAGAUAUAUAUCCUUCCCAACACUUCACCAAGAAAUUGCAGUGUUUAAUGAUUUUGGAAGUAUUGAAAAUAAUAUUAAUUAAUGACUUGAAAAAUAAUAUAACAUGUGGACACCAAGUUGAUUUUGGAAUUUCUUUUCCCAUGGUUUUUUAUUUUCUUGUUCUUUUACGUGUUUUUCCUCAUCUUGUGAAUGUGAGCUUUAAAAGACUUGAAAAGUAAUAUAACAUGUGGACACCAACUUGAUUUUGGAAUUACUUUUCCCUUGUUUUUAUUCUCCUGUUCUUUUACCUGUAUUUCCUCAUCUUGUGAAUUUGAGUUUAAGAGGUAUUUAUAGGGGAGAACCUGAGUUGUUGAUGGUUAUUUUCAAAAAUACCCCUCAUACAUAAUGUGUUUUUGAAAAUAACUUUAUCUAUAAUUUUAACUAUUUCUAGUCAAGAGAAAUUAUUUUUGGAUUAAAUUACUUUUAAUGAAACAAACUCAUAUAUUUAGUCUGCAGUUCAAACUGAUUCAUAUCUUUUGAGCUUUUCUCGUCAGACCAUUCAUUUUUGGAGUAUUUUUUACCAGAAAGAAAAACUUUUAAGCAUUUUAAGCAUUUUAAAGUGAUUUUUGAUAUACAUAGAAAACCUUUGAGCGUUUUGAGCAUUUUUAAGCAUUUGGAGUCAUUUUUGAUACAUAAAGAAAAACCUUUAAGUAUUUUGAGCAUUCUUCGAUAAGUAGGCAUAUUCGUUGAUUAUAUUGUUAAAUAGAAUAUAGUAUAUUAUUUGAUGUUGUUGAUUUUGUUAAAUGGAAUUCAGUAAUUUUGGUGGUUUUUAGGCCUUGGGUAACUGAUUUUUACGCAUUGCGUGACUAGUUUAGAGGCAUUGCAUUACUAAUUUUUAAGCAUUGCGUGAUUGAUUUUUAAGUAUUAUGUGACUAGUUGAUAUGACAUUACGUGACAGGUUGAUAAGCAUUACGUGACUGGUUAGUAAGGUAUUGUAUGACUAGUUAGGAAGGCAUUGUGUGACUUAGGUAUUGCCUAAAAAUCAGUUACGCAAUACCUAAAAACCAAUCACAUAAUUCCAAAAAUCCAAUGACACAAUACCUAAAAACCAGUAAAACAAUACCUAAUAUCUUCUCGACAUUUGGUUGAAUCUUUAAUAUCUUCUCGAAAAAGACUGAAACCUGAGUUGAGAAUUAAAUCAUUAAGUAAAACUAAAAUGAUUAAUUAUAUUGUGUCUUAAAUGAAAUCAUCAUCCUUGGCUUUGUAAGAGAGAGAUUACUCUUUGCCAAAAAUCCAGUUGCACCAGUGACUAAAAUAGUUUUGCCUUGAAGAAACUUGACAACAUGAUCCAACUCCAUAUUCAUGUCUGAGAACCCAAAAAGAUAUCAAAUUAAAGAAGUAAUUUAUUUAUAAUAUUUAUUGGAAUAAAAUUGGCUAAAAUUCAAUAUUUGAUAGAGAAAAGAUAAGAUAAAUAUAUCCUUCCCAACAUGUAAAUUGCAAUGUUUAAUGAUAAUUUGGAAGUAUUGAAAAUAAUAUUAAUUAAAGUCGAAAAAUAAUAUAACAUGCGACAUCACCUUGAUUUUGGAAUUUCUUUUCCCCUGUUUUUUUUUUCUUGUUCUUUUGCCUGUUCUUCCUUUUCGUCUUUAUGUGAGUUCUAAGAGGCAUUUAUAGGGGAGAACCAGAGCUGUCGAUGGAAGUGGAAAACCCCCAUUUUGGUGCCCUUAGGCCACAGCUUUUGUGCAAUGAAUGAGUUAUGGCAUUGAUAGGGGAGAACCAGAGCUGUUGAUGGUAGUGUCGAUGGAAGUGGAAAACCCCCAUUUUGGUGCCCUUAGGCCACAGCUUUUGUGCAAUGAAUGAGUUAUGGCAUUGAUAGGGGAGAACCAGAGCUGUUGAUGGUAGUGGAAAACCCCCAUUUUGGUGCCCUUAGGCCAUAGCUACCGAUGGUCCUAUUUCAUGUGUGAUAUCCCAUCUUAAUUCAAUGUGAAUAUGAUUGUUAACACCUUUAUAAGAGUUUACGUUAAACACUAUUAGUAAAUUGCGUUUAAACUUUUUAAAAAUUAUGUAAAUUAGAUUUGAAAAAUUACUAGACUAGUGAUGUUUAAAUCAGGAUCAUUACACUAUGUGGUUCGGUGUAUGCAUGUUGGAUUACAGCUAACUGAGGGCAGAAGCUGGAAGCAGGAUUAACUACCGCAAAUGAGGAAGGCAAAGGAGAGACAUGUCAAGGUAAAGGAUGGAUUAGUAGGAGGGAUACCUUCCCUCUCUGCUCUCCUCAAACACCUAUAUUUGCUUUAAAAUGAUAUGGAAUGAGGACAAAUAAAUAUUAUUUUUUUGUACAAAAAAAUAAUAGAAGGUAUGUUUGAGAUUUCACUUAAUGACAAUUAAGUGAUUUGGUGUGGCAUUGCUGCAAUGAUCUACAAUAAGGGACUGAUAAUUUCACACAUAGUGAGGAGAAAUUUAUAUGCUGAUGGAGAAAUUAUCAGUUUGAUUGCCGUUGAUGUUGGGAGGGUUGGAGAGUUUAACUGAUAUUUACAUGGUCUAUGGAUGGCCCUUUUGCAAGUUGUACGGAAAUCUUGGUUUUUCCUAACUUGUGGCUUUUGUUGCAACAGUCUUGCUAAUUAAUGCUUGCAAAGCUUCCAUUAGGCAAAUUGCAAUGGAAGUUUCAGGACAAAUUGAUGGAUUCAAAAGAUAAAAAGAAUGAAGGCAACAUCUAUGAUUUUAAAGAAUAUGAGAAUUCUGAAGCUUCAGGGGUGGGAAAUGAUGCUCAAUUUGAAUUCGAAAGAAGAAUUUUAAUUUCAUAUUACAAAUUAACAUGAUUUUCAUGAUUCUCAUCAAAUUGUCUCAAUCAUGUUAACAAAAAAUGGAACUUAAAAUUCAUUUUAUAUCUCAGUAUGCAAGCAUUUGGUGACAGAUUUAAUAGCUGCAGCCCCAACAGAAGACACAGCUUAUCCACCAUUUGGUUGAAUGCUUAAUAUUACUCUUUGCCGAAAAUCCAGUUGCACCAGUGACUAACAUAGUCUAGCCUAGAAGAAACCCUUUUUUUUUUUUAUAAUUGAGGUAGAGGGAAUUCGAACCCUGCGUUUUAGUCAAGAGAAUUAUACAUCAACCAAUGAGUCAAAUGCUCCGAUGCUCUUACCUGAAAGAAACUUGACAAUGUUAUCCAACUCUAUAUUCAUGUAUGAGAAUCUAGAAAGAAAUCAAAUUAAAAAAAGUAAUAUAUCCAUUGUAUAUAUUGGACUAAAUUUGGGUAAAAUUGAAUAAUUUAAUAUAGAAAAGAUAAGAUAUAUAUCCUUCCCAACAUUACACCAAGAAAUUGCAAUGUUUAAUGAUAAUUUGGAAGUAUUGAAAAUAAUAUUAAUUAAUGACUUUAAAAAUAAUAUAACACAUGUGGACACCAACUUGAUUUUGGAAUUUCUUUUCCCUGGUUUUUUAUUUUCUUGUUCUUUUACCUAUUUUUCCUCAUCUUGUGAAUAUGAGUUUUAAAAGACUUGAAAAGUAAUAUAACAUGUCGACACCAACUUGAUUUUGGAAUUUCUUUUCCCUUGUUUUUAUUUUGUUGUUCUUUUAACUGUAUUUCUUCAUCUUGUGAAUCUGAGUUUAAGAGGUAUAUAUAGGAGAGAACCUAAGCUGUUGAUGGUUCUUUUCAAAAAUACCCCUCAUACAUAAUGUGUUUUUAAAAAUAACCCUCUUUAUAAUUUUAAUUAUUUUUAGUCAAAAGAAAUUACUUUGGGAUUAAAUUACUUUUAAUAAAACAAACUCAGAUGUUUAGAUCCGCAUCUCAAACUGCUCAUAUCCUUUGAGCUUUCCUCACCAAACCAUUUAUCUUUGGAGUAUUUCUUUCUAGAAAGAAAAUCUUUUAGGCAUUUUAAGCAUUUUAGAGUGAUUUUUUAUGCUCGUAGAAAACUUUUGAGCGUUUUGAGUAUUUUUAAACAUUUAGAGUCAUUUUUGAUACAUAAAAAAAAAACCUUUGAGUAAUUUGAGAAUUCUUCGACGAGUAGGCAUAUUCGUUGAUCAUAUUGAUAAAUAGAAUAUAAUGUAUUAUUUGAAGUUGUUAAUUUUGUUAAAUGAAAUUUAGUAAUUUUGGUGGUUUUUAAGCCUUGGGUAACCGAUUUUUGCGCAUUGUGUGACUAGUUUUUAGGUAUUGCAUUACUAAUUUUUAGACAUUACGUGAUUGAUUUUUAAGUAUUAUGUGACUAGUUGAUAUGACAUUACGUGACAGGUUGAUAGGUAUUGCGUGACCGGUUAAUAAGACAUUGCAUGACUAGUUAGGAAGGUAUUGUGUGACUUAGGCAUCGCCUAAAAAUCAGUCACGUAAUGCCUAAAAACUAAUCAUAAAAUAUCAAAAACCAAUCACGUAAUGCCAAAAAACCAGAGACGUAAUGAUUAAGGCACGCAAUGCCUAAAAAUCAAUCUCGCAAUACCUAAAAUCCAAUGACACAAUACCUAAAAACUAAUAAAGCAAUACCUAAUAAGUAAUCGAUUUACCUGCUCGUAGUCAGGUUUAAGUUGCCAAAGUUAUACAGCGUUCUAAUUUACAGAUAUAUCUAAUUAAUUCCAACCCCCUCAACUAUGGGGUUCGAUGAAUAAAUCAAUAAACCCAAGAACCUAAAACAUAUACCUCGAUGUCAUCUUUGCACUUUGGGGUGGCAAGAAAGAGCUGGACGACAAGAUAGAUAGUAUUUGCCAAGAGAGAGAAAUCGAGAUUUGAUUUUGAAAUUUUUGUCUGGAUUGUGGAAUAGAGAAAAUCGAAACCAUUUUAUUUUGUCUAAAAUUUUUUAAAGUGCAUUAUUAUCAAGUCAUGUCAAAAAUUAACUAAAAAUAGUUAAAAUUAUAAUGAAAGAUAUUUUUAAAUUGGAUUUAUGAAAAGGAUUAUUUCUCAGAAUUUUCUCUAGUAGAAAACACCCCAUUUUGGUGCCCUUAGGCCAUUGCUUUUGAGCAAUGAAUGAAGUUAUGGCAACCGAUGGUCCUAUUUCAUGUAAUGGCCUUUCCUUUCUGAAAUUGGGUAUUUUAAUCCGAACAUAAAGUUAGGUUUAAUUUCUACCAAAUUUAGGGGCACGCUAGAGGGAAGCCCCAGCCAACAGAAUGUGGAGGUGGAUUCCAAUGGGUUUGUUAAGCAAGUGCCGACAUUGCUAUCAGUUUGUCUAGUUUGGCUCUCAGAGUCAAAAAAGGUUACUCUCUAACAAUCCCUAUCACGGUCAUAGACUGAACCCCACAAGAAAAUAUUUGGUCUUUAAUUAUUGGUGUAAGAAAACAAACAAAAAUUCAGACUAUGAAUUCUUCAUUUUACUUUGAAGCAAAGAUAAAAUGACGAAGCAUCAUGUACACAAAUAAAUAAAGAACUAUCAAGGCAAUAACAUCUGUCAUUGGUCACAAUGAAAGUAAUGUAAGUAUUCUGCAUCUUUCCUCACCUGUUAAGCUGUUCAAAGCUUGAUACCCACUAAUUUUUUUUUUUUUUAGAUUUAGGGAAGGAGAUUCGAACUUUACUCUUUAAGUGAGGAGAUCAUACACUAACUAACGAAUCAAAUGCUCGUAUGCGUCCUCUACUUAAAUUUUAUUCAAUUACUUUUAUUUUUUAAAAAUAAUUAGACUUAAUCGCAUGUCUUAAGAGGCCAGGAAUGUGAAUGUUCAUCAUGUAAUCUUCCCAAUCAAUACUCUUAGAAUCGAAGUCAAAUACACCCAUAUCAACGCCUCUCCCUUGAGCCACCAUUUGCAACUUGUCUAAAUUUGAGUCACUAAAGCUGCAUAGGUAGAUAAGAACAUUUAAAGCAACGUAAUUGGUGAUUAGAAAAAUUAAAUUGUUAUGCCAAAUGCAAGAAUUUUGAAAUAAAUAAUAAACACAUAUGCAUACUCACAUGCCCUUAAAGAAGGCAUAAGGUUUGUAAACUUCUGCAAACCGCAUUACCAAUUUGAUUUUGCGAUUAAGGUCCAUGUAAACUUGCCUGAAAUAUUGGCAAUUGAGGAUGUUCACCAAAUACAAUACCUUUACAAAUUCGAAACAUAAAAAAUAUAUACUAUGAUAAGAAAUGAGAAUUAAUUAAAUAAGAAAUGCUUUGACACAUCUAUAUAUAUAUAUUCAACUUUCUUAAUUAUUAGCCCUAAAUAUUAUUUUCCUUUUUAUUCUAUUUUCUUCUAUACCUAUUUUUUUUAUCAUUAAAUAUUUACCUUUUAUAUUUUAAUUCAUUAUUGUUAUGAUUUUAUAACUAAAUAUUUAUUUACUUUAUAUGAAUAUUUUUUCAUCUACCUAAAUAAAUUUUCCUUACAACUAGAUAUUUAUCUAUUUUUUUAUUUACAGCUUUCUAUUUAUUAUUAUUUUACCCCUAUUUCUCUACUCUAAAACCUCUUAUAAUUUUUUUAUAAUAUUUUUCCAUCCUAUUUAAAUUAAUCACAUGUUUAUAACAACAAAUUUCAAGCUAAAUAAAAUAAGCCAGCCCAACAAACUUAACCCAAGCAGAUUUAUAAAUGGGUCAAAGAAAAGGUUAUACCUUUCUUGGGCUAGAAUUGGCCCAAGAUAGUCGGCGAAGGAGAAAACAAGUCUGCUGCACCAGCUAACUAGAUCCCUUUCAAAACGCACCGUUUGGUGCUUUAAAGGCCCCUUCAAACAACGCCGUUUAGGCUCAAACUCACUCUCCCUUCCCUUCCCCAAAACAACGCCGUUUAAUAAUAACCAAACCUAAGUAUAAAAAACCUCUUUUCUCCUUUUCUCUCAUUUGCCCUUUUCACUUUCUCUCUCUAGUCAUCGACACGUUCUACCUUCUCUCUAAAACAAAACCCCUUCCCCUUUUCUUUCAAAUCCGAAAUCCAAACCUACCUCUCUCUUCACUUUCCUAGCCGGCUGCUCUUCCUUCUCUCUCCCUUACAACCACCAAUCGAAAGCCCCAAACCCCGUGACUAUCUCGAAAGAGAAGAAAGAAAAGCAAACCAGUCCCUCUUAGUUUCGAAAUUUUUUAAGGCUUUUUCUUUGGAUUUCUUGGUUGUGGUUUUUUUAUUUUUUCUUUCUUUUUGUGGUAGUGUAUAUGGCUAAGUAUUUUGGUUGGUAACAUAAAGUUAGCGCUUUUUCAUUCUAGGGAUUUUUCUUUUUUUUGCAUCUCUUGAUUGUGGCUGUUGGUUGUUGGUAGAAACCUAGGAUUUUUUGUUUUGAUUUUAGGGUUUUCAAUCUCUCAAUAAAAUCUGCCCCUUUUUAGCUUUUUUUCAAUCCGGCUUUCCUCCCUUAACCAAAAUUUUGAAGAUGAUGGCCUCGAAAAGGUGAGCAUGAUUUCACAGAUAAUGGCUUAUGGAGGUGACCCAAAUCUGACUCCCAAUGGGCAUUGAAUGCUCUGUGCAAGCGUGUUUUCUGAAAUGUUGACUAUGGAGGUCAUGUAUUUCAGUUUUUUUUAUUAUAAUUUAUUUUAUUUUAUUUAUUAUUUAUUAUUAUCUUUUGUUUGAAAGAAAAAAAAAAGUCUAACAUUAAUGAAGUACGAAACUUAAAAUAUUAGAUACCUCACUACAAAAAUAUUUUUAUCUUGAAGAAACUUGACAACAUUAUCUAAUGCAAGAGUGUCUAAUAUUGUAUUUUAUUUAAUUUAAUUUUUAUUAAUUUUAGUUGAUUUAAGAGUAUAUUAUUAGAUUAUUAUUAUUUAAGAAUUAUAGAUAUAAUAAAAAAAAAAAUUUUACUUGUACGAGGACUUUAAGUUAAUGAUGUUUUAUUUAAAAAUAGAAUACUUAUUUUGUUCAAAUUUCUUGUUAACUAUUUUAAUUGUAUUAGAUAAUUAAGAGUAGAGUUUUAUUAAGAUGUGGGCUUAUAAUACUAUAAAUAACAUUUUUAAGUUUAGUUAUGAGACAUUUAAAUUGAGAGUUAAUAAAUAAUAUUUUUUGAAAUAGGAGUGUUUAUUUUUUUGGGUUUUUUUUAAAGAGUAAAAGGUUUUAGUAUCUUUAGUUUAACCAACCAAAGUGAGAUUUUGGUUAUUUUUUCACUUUAGUAUGGUUUUUAAUCUUGUCAAAAUUGGUGAUUCACUUUAGCGAGGUUUUUAACCUCAUCACGAUUGGUGUCUUUCAUAACAUCCAGAUGUUUUUACAACGCAUAAGUAAUUUAUCUAUAGUAUAUAUUGAAAUAAAAUUGGGUACAAUCCAACAAUUUAAUAGAGAAAGAUAAGAAAGCAAUGUUUAAUCAUAAUUUGGAAGUAUUGAAAUAAAAUUAUUAAAGUUGAAUAAUAAUCUAACAUGUGGUCAUCACCUACCUUGAUUUUGGAAUUUCUUUUCCCUUUUUCCCAUUGAUUUUUCCGUGUUCCUUUAGUUGUUCAUUCUCCUAUUCUCUAUGUGAGUUUUAAGAGGUAUAAAUAGGGAUAAGAAAAGUUGUGUGUUGUAGUGGAAAACCCCUUAAUUUUGGUACCCCUAAGCCACUGCUUUUGAGCAAUGAAUGAAGUAAUUAUGGCAACCAUGGUCCUAAUUUCAAGUGUGAAAUCACAUCUUAUGUUGAAUGUGAAUAUAAUUAUUAACAUUUUAAUAAAAAUUUAAGUUAAUCACUACUUAAUGGAGUUUAAACUUUUGAAAAUUACAUGAUUUAGAUUUGAAAAAUUGUUCGACCAAUAAUAUUUAAAUCAAGAUCGUUACUCCAUGUGAUUUGGUUCAUACACAUUGAUAGUAGCCAAUUGACGCGAGAAGCUGAAAGUAGGUUAAUUACCACAAAUGACGAAAGUAAAAGAGAGUUUUUUUUUUUUUUGUUUGAAAAGCAUGUAAAGGUAAAGGAUGGAUUAAUAGUAGGGAUGCCUUCCCUCAUAAACCUACCUUUUCUUUUCUUUUUAUGUAAAAAAAAAAAUAGAAGGUGCGUAUGAGAUUUCCACCCUUUAACCAGACAAAAAAGUGAAAAUUCCUUAAAUUCUUUUCCUUUCUCUUCGUAAGUUAACUAAAUAAGGUAAUUUUAUUAUUAUGUCAAAAAUGAAUCUUUUCAUAGUUCGAAUUUUAUUCACAACUGUUAUAGUUUGAGGACUUGUUUUAAGGUAAAAUAUACAUACUGCUAUGAGUUUUGGCCAUAAUUUCUUGCAAGUUUAUUAAUAUUCGAAAUGAAUAGUCCGUUCCAAAAGAAUAUCUUGCGCUGGACGCAUAAGUCCUAUCAUUAGUUAAUCGUUAAUGUUUUUGGUAUUUGAUCACGUGGUAAUAUUUUUAGGAUAAUUUUACCUUUCAUUAUGUCGUAAUGUGCGGGAAUGAGAACCUGACGCUUGGCCUGAAAAAUUUAGAGAGUCGCGCGAAAUUUUUUUUUUUUAUCUAGGUGCGAUUCGCCACCUAUUAAAAUUGUUCUUCUCAACAAAGUCUUAAAUUAAUUUUAGGAUUGCUUAAAGAACAAGACUUAGUCUAUGUAUUUCAGAGUUGGAUUCGGAAGUACAGUUACACAUGGGGAAAGAUUAGCAAUCUCAUGAUGCCCGUUCUACAAAUAGUACCACUUUAUCAUAUAUUAUCCUAUUAACCUUAACUUUUUACUUUUAUUUUUAUAUUUCCCUAAUCCUUAUUUAUUUAUUUUAUUUACAAAUUAAAAAUUUUUUUUUUCAACCUUACGGGGUGAGACGUGCAUAUGAUGCAAUUGUAAAAUGCAUGGCAUAAAAUCUAGAUAAUGUCAACGAAAACCAUUUAUUGAGUGUACUUCUUGAAUCCACCCAUCACACUAGUGAGAUCUAAAGGUAUUCUCUCACCUAGAGAAAUACAUGAAAAACUCGCAUUCGCAAGUUUAAUGAGUAAAUCUCAUCAUCAAAGUAGUCGUUUGUAUGUAAAAACUAUAUUUUAAUAAAUGCAAAUCUUAAUACAAGUAGAAACUUUUUAUUAAGGAUAUUCUUCGAGUCUUUUCAUUGUACUAGUGGGACUCAAAGGUAUCCUUUCACCUAAAAAAUAAUUGGUUAAAAAUGUUUGUUUACACUAUGUCCAUGAGCACUUUUAUCUUCUGGUUCCCCCAAAUUUGUUUCUGUUUCCAGGCGCGUGUAUGCUUAUAUGGGAAUCCCAUUGCAAUCAAGUAAUAUCUCAUCUGCACUUGCAACAUUCAGGAUGCUUGAGGAGCCCAUUUACAAUCUUCCCGAUACAAUCUCAACGACUGUGAUUAGACUAAAGGAUCCCUGAAUAGAAUAUCCUAAUCAUUUCUCAACAUGAUGACCUGCCAGCUGAUGUCAUUCAGAAGCUUCCUAAAGGAAGUACUGUCAUAGCAGUUGAUCAGAAGUCCUUCCACCAGUUCCUUGGUUCUCUUGCUCUAUCUUGGCACAUUCGGUACUCUUUUUGUUCUUCAUUCCGGACUUUUCACCUAAUCAAAUUCCCUUGUAUUCCAGGAAUUUUUCUUGAAGCUUUUGAGUGAAAACAUUUAUAUAUGCUACUCAUCAAAUAGAACUUUAAUUUUACCAAAUGCGAAUCUUAUAUAUCCUGGUGAGUGAUUCAUAUAGUUUGAAACAGUAACUCAUCUUUCCUAGGAAAAUAAGGUAUCCCCUAUCUCUACAUUCCUUUUAAUGGUAACGAGUUAGCAGUUGAAAAAUGGCAUUCAUGCUAUCAGAUGAAUCGAUCCUGGCAAUUGCUUUCUUAAUAUUUGCUGUCAGAGAAGAUGGAGAGAAUCGGAUUGUGGGGCAGAAGCAACUACUAGUCUGUGCAAACGGAUAGCCAGCAAAAAAGACAAUGUUCACCAUUCAGCGGGAGGUAAAAAAUUCCCCUCCACCUUUUUGAUGAACCAUUAAUUUCUCGAAGGUGUUUAACAAUGAAUGAUUCUUUAUUUUAUUUGAAAGCAAAGAUGCUAUCAAGUACACAAAUAGUCACAUAUUGAAAGUAAUGCAAGUAUUCUCCAUCUUUCCCUCAUCUUUUAAGCUGUUCAAAGCUUGAUACCCUCUACUUAAAUCUUAUUCAAAGGGUCGUGCAUACAAAUUCAUUCAAAGGGUAAUAGAUAAGUUUUUUUUUUACAAUAAUUAAGAUUUAACCGCAUGUCUUAAGAGGCCAGGAAUGUGAAUGUUGAUCAUGUAAUCCUCCCAAUCAAUACUCUUGGAAUCGAAGUCAAAUACACCCAUAUCAAUGCCUCUCUCUUGAGCCACCAUUCGCAACUUGUCUAAAUUUUUGUCACUAAAGCUGUAUAAGGAGACAAGAGCAUUUAAAACAAUUUAAUUAGUGAUUAAAAAUAUUAAAUUGUUAAGCCAAAAGCAAAAAUUUUGAAAUAAAUAAUAAACACAUAUGCAUACUCACAUGCCCUUAAAGAAGGCAUAAGGUUUGUAAAAUUCUGCCAACCGCAUUGCAAACUUGAUUUUGCGAUUAAGGUCCAUGUACACUUGCCUGAAAUCCUGGCAACAAAGGAUGUUCACCAAGUGCAAUACCUUUACAAAUUACAAACAUAAAAAAUAUAUAUUAUAAUAAGAAAUGAGAAUUAAUUAAAUAAGAGGAGUACUUAUAAAAAAAUACAAGACAUAAUGUUUUAAGAAACCCUUAAACUAUUGAAAAAAAUUUAAAUAAAUUUUUAUUUUUCUAUUGCGUACAAUUAAGUCUCUAUACUUUUAUUUUGAAUCAAAUAGAUCUUUAUAACUAAUGGUUAAUUGAGGUGGAGAGUAAAAAAUACCACGUGACUAUGCCAUCAUGUCAUAUUAGUAUGUCAUGUUAUUAUCUGUUAUGACAUGUUAGCAUUCUAUAUCAACAUUACGUGAUAUAAAAUGACAUGUAAUGUUUUAACUAAUGACAAUUAAUUAAUUAUUAAUUUUAUGAACUUAUUUAACCCGAAACAAAAGCAUAACAGUUUGAAUGAAUGCAAUAAAAACAUAAAAAUUGAUUUAAUUUUUUCUAAAUAGUUCAGAGUCCUUUUAGAUAUUAUGUCAAAAUAAAAAUUAAGACUGUAACAA
Molecule: long non-coding RNA, 37281 nt
Filed under: Theobroma cacao (cacao)
Lineage: Eukaryota; Viridiplantae; Streptophyta; Magnoliopsida; Malvales; Malvaceae
Description: long non-coding RNA (TCAC_LNC004143)
Source: RNAcentral